This 291-nucleotide ribosomal RNA is filed under the name uncultured eukaryote. Its description in RNAcentral is "partial small subunit ribosomal RNA". It matches the Rfam family "Eukaryotic small subunit ribosomal RNA", at positions 587 to 901 of the family's 1831-position model. The record is from RNAcentral.
AGCUCUAAUGGUGUAUGCUAACAUUGUUGCAGUUAAAAAGCUCCUAGUCGAAUAUGUUAGGGAAUCAUUUUUAUGUGAUCUUAUUCAACUACCAAGAAAUUCGAUUAUUCCUAUUAUUCGAAGAAUCAUUGAAAUAAUGUAAUUUUACUUUAGAAAAAAUAGAGUGUUUUAGACAAUCUUAUGGAUGUAUAUUAAAGCAUAGAAUGGUAGAUAAUGACAUCAGUUAAUGUCUGAUGGUUUGAGAGGUUGAUGUAAUGAUUUAUAGAGUUUGUCGAAGAUAUUAGUAUUUUG